Molecule: ribosomal RNA, 292 nt
Filed under: uncultured bacterium
Lineage: Bacteria
Also listed under: 2 other names
Description: partial 16S ribosomal RNA
Source: RNAcentral
GGACUACAAGGGUAUCUAAUCCCGUUUGCUCCCCUAGCUUUCGCGCCUCAGCGUCAGAAGAGGUCCAGUGCGUCGCUUUCGCCUCCGGCGUUCCUUCCAAUAUCAACGCAUUUCACCGCUCCACUGGAAGUUCCACACACCCCUACCUCCCUCCAGACCGACAGUAUCGAAGGCACUUCUACAGUUAAGCUGCAGGAUUUCACCCCCGACUUGUCGGACCGCCUACGCGCCCUUUAAGCCCAGUGAUUCCGAACAACGUUAGGACAGUUCGUCUUACCGCGGCUGCUGGCAC